CAGCAGCCGCGGUAAUACGGAGGAUCCAAGCGUUAUCCGGAAUCAUUGGGUUUAAAGGGUCCGUAGGCGGUCUUAUAAGUCAGUGGUGAAAUCUCCCCGCUCAACGGGGAAACGGCCAUUGAUACUGUAGGACUUGAAUUAUUAGGAAGUAACUAGAAUAUGUAGUGUAGCGGUGAAAUGCUUAGAGAUUACAUGGAAUACCAAUUGCGAAGGCAGGUUACUACUAAUGGAUUGACGCUGAUGGACGAAAGCGUGGGUAGCGAACAGGAUUAGAUACCCUGGUAGUCCACGCCGUAAACGAUGGAUACUAGCUGUUGGAAGCAAUUUCAGUGGCUAAGCGAAAGUGAUAAGUAUCCCACCUGGGGAGUACGUUCGCAAGAAUGAAACUCAAAGGAAUUGACGG
RNAcentral lists this ribosomal RNA (403 nucleotides) under uncultured bacterium. Its description in RNAcentral is "bacterial SSU rRNA". It matches the Rfam family "Bacterial small subunit ribosomal RNA", at positions 509 to 916 of the family's 1533-position model. The record is from RNAcentral.